This 434-nucleotide ribosomal RNA is filed under the name uncultured bacterium. RNAcentral describes it as "partial 16S ribosomal RNA". It matches the Rfam family "Bacterial small subunit ribosomal RNA", at positions 341 to 792 of the family's 1533-position model. The record is from RNAcentral.
ACGGAAGGCAGCAGUGGGGGAUAUUGCACAAUGGGGGAAACCCUGAUGCAGCGACGCCGCGUGAGUGAUGAAGUAUUUCGGUAUGUAAAGCUCUAUCAGCAGGGAAGAAAAUGACGGUACCUGACUAAGAAGCUCCGGCUAAAUACGUGCCAGCAGCCGCGGUAAUACGUAUGGAGCAAGCGUUAUCCGGAUUUACUGGGUGUAAAGGGAGCGUAGACGGCGUGGCAAGUCUGAUGUGAAAGCUAUGGGCUCAACCCAUAAACUGCAUUGGAAACUGUCAUGCUAGAGUGUCGGAGAGGUAAGCGGAAUUCCUAGUGUAGCGGUGAAAUGCGUAGGUAUUAGGAGGAACACCAGUGGCGAAGGCGGCUUACUGGACGAUAACUGACGUUGAGGCUCGAAAGCGUGGGGAGCAAACAGGAUUAGAUACCCUGGUA